UACAGAGGUCUCAAGCGUUGUUCGGAUUCAUUGGGCGUAAAGGGUGCGUAGGUGGCGCUGUAAGUCAGAUGUGAAAUUUCGGAGCUUAACUCCGAAACUGCAUUUGAUACUGCGGUGCUUGAGGACUGGAGAGGAGAUUGGAAUUCACGGUGUAGCAGUGAAAUGCGUAGAUAUCGUGAGGAAGACCAGUGGCGAAGGCGGAUCUCUGGGACGGUACUGACGCUGAGACGCGAAAGCGUGGGGAGCGAACAGG
Molecule: ribosomal RNA, 253 nt
Filed under: uncultured bacterium
Lineage: Bacteria
Description: partial 16S ribosomal RNA
Rfam family: Bacterial small subunit ribosomal RNA
Source: RNAcentral